Salvia miltiorrhiza (redroot sage) is the source of this 1245-nucleotide long non-coding RNA. RefSeq lists it as uncharacterized. The record is from RefSeq and is a predicted model, not a curated record. The transcript has 3 exons. Lineage: Eukaryota; Viridiplantae; Streptophyta; Magnoliopsida; Lamiales; Lamiaceae.
CACGUUCUAUCACAACAAGUCAACAACAGUUUUCUCUCACCCACGGUUCUCUCCCCGUAGCAAUUUGAUAUCUCUCUCAGACGCUGUUUCGAAUUGAAGCACAAUAAAUGUUUAAUGGAAGAAGAAGCACAGAUACAGAGCAUGAGACCAGAUCUAAGAGCGACAAUAUGGAAGACACAUAUGGGGAUGAUCAAGAUGCCACAUUGCCGAGGAAGAAGAGAUCUAUCGGCUUCCAGCAAUAAAAUGAGGGGAAAGUUCGAACUCGCAUUAAGGAUUGUAAAGUUGAUGACAAAAGAUGGAGAAAUUUUGAGGCGUGGAGUAUCUUCAAGAAAUUGAAAGAGGUAAUUAUUGCCUCGCAUCUCUUUUAUUUACAUUUAUUGAAUAUUCUUCAUUAUAUACUUUGGCAUUAAACAAUUGAAAUUAACAAGGAUGAAGGUGGUAUAAUCAUGGAUCUAUUUUCCCUUUUCUUUUCCUCUUUUCUAAACAAAUAGAGUGCCAGUAGUGUUGCCGAUAGGAGCGGUGUGAUCUUCUUUAUUUGAAACAAAAUUGGGAAUGUUGCUUUGUUAUUAAAACUCCUCUAUUUAAGCCUCUACAAGUUCUGUAAUGUAUGGUUUCAUUAUCAAUUCAUGUGGAUUAUAUUUUGGAUACUAACAUUGAGAAACAUGUCUAGAAUAAUUUUUUGGAAUAAUGCAUGUAUUUUAGAAUAGAUGAGUAUAUGUUAUGAUAUUAUUGGAAUGUGGUUAAAAUAUGAACUGUUUUACAUAUAUUUUGUCAUCAUUUACAUUUCUUCUCGAAUUUGAUUUAUGAUACUUACUAUUUUUCUUAUUUCCCAUAUAGGAACAAAAUAGAAAUGGAAUGAAAAAAAAGUGGUAAAAGUUUAUUUAUCUUGAACAAUAAGUUUAGAUUUUAUGGAGACUGCAUCCUCUGAAUGUUUGUAAAAUGAUGGAUAUAAUCGAGAACUAAUUGUUCGACUUGACCAAUUUUAUAAUUUCUGUAGAUUUAACACAUGAACACGCUGAUGUUGUUCUUAGUUUUGAUGAUAUACGUGUUGUGCAAUUUUUUUUAGUCCAACAAAUGACAUUAACCUGACUCCCAUCUAUCUUACUCAAGAUUUAAUGGAAAGGUAUAUUGCAUUUUGAAAGAGUUACCUAUACUAACAGUGAUAGAAAUUGUGAUACUUUUCUCUGCGGCUCUGCCAUAACUUGAUCAUCAAUCUUAAUAUUGACGUGUUGAUUCUAACUAAAA